RNAcentral lists this long non-coding RNA (2059 nucleotides) under Homo sapiens (human). RNAcentral describes it as "non-protein coding PSMA3-AS1:24". The record is from RNAcentral. Lineage: Eukaryota; Metazoa; Chordata; Mammalia; Primates; Hominidae.
GUCAUAUCUCAUCAGUGGUUACAAAGUCAUUUCUUUCAUCUAUAGAAAAUAAAAUGUAUACUGUUCAUCAGAAGAACAUUUUCCACUUGUGUAAUAACUAUUUUCACUUUUAUACUCAGAUAUAAAACCAAGGAAAAUAACCUAAAGUCUGAAAAAGACCAGAAUCGAAGUUUCCUGAUUCAUAUUUUAAUGUUUUGAAAUUUAUACUCCAGGCUGGGUGCAGUGGCUUGUGCCUGUAAUCCCAGCACUUUGGGAGGCCGAGGCGGCCGGAUUGCCUGAAGUCAGAAGUUCGAGACCAGCCUGACCAACAUGGUGAAACCCUGUCUCUACUUAAAAAUACAAAAGAGCUGGGCAUGGAGGUGGUGCGCGCCUGUAACCCUAGCUACUCGGGAGGCUGAGGCCUAAGAAUCUCUUGAACCCAGGAGGCAGAGGUUGUAGUGAGCCGGGAUCACGCCACUGCACUCUAGCCUGGGCGACAGAGAGAGAGACUGUCUAAAAAAGGAAAAGAAAAAAAUUUAUACGCCAAAAAAGAUAUUCUGAGAUAACCUGUAGUUACCACUAACUUUGUGACAAAAUUAUAAAAAUCCACAGCCAUCUAUGAAUCUGUAGGCAGACCUGAAGUUUGAACGACUGGUGAAGACAUCUGAUUUUCUUUAUAGCCAAGUUAGGAUAACAAAAUGCAAACAAGUCAUUAAUAUUUACUAUAUGCAAGAUACAGAAAGAUGAAGGAAGGAGUAAGAAGUUAUCCUUCGUGGAACUAUUCAAAGCAAAAAUGCAAAAUACCAGGGAAAGCUUUGAAGAACCAAGAUUUGAGCAGGUUCUUAGAAUAUAGAUUGGAUUGGAUUUGAUUUCAAGAAAGAUGAACGUGUAAAGCAGAAGUGGGAAGCCAAAAACUUUUUUCCAAAUUAGAAUUAAGCAUUCUUUCAAUGAACAUUUGGAAAUCAAGGUAGAAAAAUAUCCCUAGGGCCUAGCUGAGGAGUCUGUAUGUUGUUGGGUUUUGAUAGUAACCAGUCCAAGAUUUUGUUAUUAGACGUGGGUUUCUGAAUAGACAGGCAUUUCUGAACAGACAUGACAGGAUCAAAACAAUGUUUGAGCAAACUGCCCUUCAUCUACUGUGGAUAUGUUGGGGGAUGAUGGAAUAUAGUGAAAGAUAAUGGGUGCUCAUACAGCAGUCUAGACUUAAGGUGAUUCAACUACUAUAUAUUAAACUAGAUUAUCUUUUAUUUUUUAAUUUUGAAAUCUGGAUGCUCAAGCUCUGCCUGCACAACCACAUGAGGAAGAAGGAACAAUGACAACAAAAAUAACACUAAAUUUAAAUUUAAGAGUACUACUUUUAGGAAAUAGACAAACCAUUAUUUGGGUACAACUAAAGGCAACUGGCAUGGACUCAAAUAUUUUGGGGAAGAAAAAGACUAAAAGUUCUAAGGAAGAAAAUGCGAACCUUGAUAGUUUGAAAUAGUUAAAAAGACAGUGUAGAAACUGCUUAGGCAGUUUGAUUAUGGACUAUUAGAUGAUACUUGGGUCUGAUAAUGGUAUAAGGAGAAUAAAGUAUUUAGGGAUCCAAUAUUACGCCUGCAGCUUUUUCCAAAUAGUUCAUGGGGGAGGGGGAUGUGUAAGUGGUUAACUGAAGUCUAACUAGAUAGGUUUGUUGUAAGCUUAGGAUGUUUACAGUUCUUCAUGUUAAGUUGAGCGUGAUGGGAAGGGAAAGAAUGCUGAUCUUUAAAUUUUUGUCCUUAGUUAAGUUCUGUAUUUAGUGAAUUAAUUGCAUCCUAAAAAGUCAAACUUGAAAAGCACAUUUUAAAUGGCAAAUCUAUUUUUUACAUGUUUGUGAAGUUUUUAUUUUUUAGUAAACAGACCAUCAGAAGAGAACAAUGGUACAGAGCAGGGGUCAGCAGAUGGAUUUUGUAAAGCAUCAACUUGUAAAUAUUUUCAAGUUUAUUAGCUGUAUGGCUCUGGUUUCUGUUCCCUGUUCCAAAUGUUAAAGUCUACUGUUGUAUUCUAAAAGCAGCCAUGGACUGAAUGUAGCUGUGUUCCAAUAAAACUUACACAAAAGCAGGCA